RNAcentral lists this ribosomal RNA (309 nucleotides) under Pseudoalteromonas sp. RNAcentral describes it as "bacterial SSU rRNA". It matches the Rfam family "Bacterial small subunit ribosomal RNA", at positions 18 to 329 of the family's 1533-position model. Lineage: Bacteria; Pseudomonadati; Pseudomonadota; Gammaproteobacteria; Alteromonadales; Pseudoalteromonadaceae. The record is from RNAcentral.
CCUGGCUCAGAUUGAACGCUGGCGGCAGGCCUAACACAUGCAAGUCGAGCGGUAACAGAGAGUUGCUUGCACCUUUGCUGACGAGCGGCGGACGGGUGAGUAAUGCUUGGGAACAUGCCUUGAGGUGGGGGACAACAGUUGGAAACGACUGCUAAUACCGCAUAAUGUCUACGGACCAAAGGGGGCUUCGGCUCUCGCCUUUAGAUUGGCCCAAGUGGGAUUAGCUAGUUGGUGAGGUAAUGGCUCACCAAGGCGACGAUCCCUAGCUGGUUUGAGAGGAUGAUCAGCCACACUGGGACUGAGACACUG